Molecule: microRNA precursor, 77 nt
Filed under: Pelobates cultripes (western spadefoot toad)
Lineage: Eukaryota; Metazoa; Chordata; Amphibia; Anura; Pelobatidae
Source: RNAcentral
ACAAGCUUUCGGGAGAACCUCCCUUUCUCAAGUGAAAUGCUUCAGACUUGAGAAAGGGAGGUUCUCCCGAAAGCUUG